Molecule: long non-coding RNA, 5073 nt
Organism: Alligator mississippiensis (American alligator)
Lineage: Eukaryota; Metazoa; Chordata; Crocodylia; Alligatoridae
Exons: 2
Source: RefSeq, a predicted model, not a curated record
GUUGUCUGUUAAUUCAUUUGUGUUUUCCGAUCAAACUAAUGGUUGUUUUGUUUUUGCUGCUGGUCUCCAUAUGAUUGGGAGUAGUUUUAACACAAAAUCUAACCUCUUGGAAGUCCUUGCUUUCAUCCUGAAGUUAUGGGAUGUUUUCCUGGGCUAGUGAGUACCUUUGUAGAUUAGGCCUCUAAAUAUGUUGCCAAAACCCUUUUGUAAAAGUAGUAAGUGUUUGUUGAUGUGCCUUUGAACCACAGUUAGGGCUUUGAGAAAUACCUUUUCAUUUAGUAACAAGACUAAACAAGGGGCUGGAUUCUUGAAUUCUUGCACUUCCAAGGAAGGUUUUUUUGGGGGGGGGGGAGGAUUUUUAAAGAAAUGUUCUUAAAAUGGGAUUUGGCCCUGGAAAGGAAGUGUUUUAAGGUUGGUCUACUCCAAACCUUACACCAGUGCUUCUCAACCAGGAUACCAGAUUCUUUUAAGGGUGAUGCAGGGUACCAGGCAAUAUUAGAUGUACCAACACCUAUAUUUGAUAAACCCAGAUUUUAAAUGAAAAAUUAAAUUUGUCAAAAGCAUUCUGACCUGCUGUGGUCAGAAAAAUUGCUCUAGUUUUGUAUAGUUAAGAAACAAUUACAGGCAUUUUCUGAGCAGUGCCUUGAUCUUGUAAGAAGGGUUGAGAACCACAAUCCUAAACUCCAUUGCAAGAUUCUGAUUUGUUUGGUGCUGCAUUCAGCUUAACAGUGGUUGGUAAAGAGAACAUGUUACAUAUUCUUCUUUUGAAACAGUUUGCCUUCACUUGGCUAAAAGCUUACCUUUAAGCCAUAUGUCUCUAUGUACUACCCCAAGGGUAAUGGUAAAACAAAUGAAUACACAUCAAGCCUCUCCCCUCAAUUUAAUCAUAAACACUACUCUUUUCCUAGUGCACACCAGGAAAUGUUUACCAUAUUUCAAAAACACCUUGGUAGAUGAUGAGAUGACUCUUGCUGGCUAAUAUUGCAGGGCAGGUUUUUUUUGUUUUUUUUUUUUCUUUAAAUUAGAACAAGGGAGAAACCAAACUGUUGUAUUGGUUUAUUAGUUUGGUUUGUUUCAAGCAAGUUGGACUGAGCCAAAGAACCAGAGUCAAAUACACUUGACUCUUCCUGCAAGUUCAGGACUGAUCUCUGUAACUGUGUGUGGGGGGGGAGGGUUGUUUUUUAUGAUCUGCUUGCGUAACCGCAUAAUGGUGCAAGAGCAGCUUGCAACUGCUGAAGUUCUGCUAGUUCAAAGUCCUUUGAAAUUACUUGCAAAGAAAGAACAAUAUAAUUGUUGUUUUUCUUAUAAUGGAUGACAGAAGGCUGAGAACUUUCAGAUUUCAGCUUUUCAUUUUUUUUUUUUUAUGGUGUAAGGCUGGAAGCUAUUGCAUGAUGCCCAACAGCAAAGGUUUAAGGGAAGACACUUCAUGUAUUUUACCACUUAUGUACACUACCAUCCUCUCCUCUUUCCAUCUUUGCUCCUCCCAGUCAAAACUAACAGUUUACGUUUUGUUAAGUCCCAACCAGGAAUCAUCAGAGACAAUCAUGGAGCACUGGGCUCCCCAUUUCUCAUACUUGGAUUUAAAAAAAAAAAAAAAAAAAAGCCACAGUGAGGCAAAAGGAAGCCUUCAUACUGUAUUUAUGACAACACUAGAGGGAAAUGUUUUGCAACUUCUGAGCAUUGUGAGUUACAAGUAACACCUCGUUAAAAUGAGUCUGAGCUAUGUGGGUAAAGGCUUUUUCUAAACAUGAAUUGCACUGCUAUUUGAUUGAAAACAGUGCAGUUGGAGGAGUUUGACCCAUUCCUGUCAUCCAAUGUAGAUGCAGUUCCCAUGCAGGAAAGGGUACAGACUAUUUGAAUGUAUACAAAAAGAUUAAGGAAUAGAAGGCUUUCAGUGUGAAAACAAUGUGGGCCCAUCUGUGCUGGCCAGUCAAGCUAUACUGGAACUUGGAUUCACUACAAGCAAGAGGAAUGAGGUGUCCCUUGACUAAUUUAAUGUUCUGUAGUCAGUAAAAAUAUUUGUUUGAAUUAUGUGCAGAAUGGGAAAGGUAGAGACAGCAUCUGGAAAUUCAAGCCAUGUAGCAACUUUUAAGGGAGUAAUGAAAGUUGUAAUUCUAUAGUAACAUGAACUGUUACUUUGCUCUGAGAUGUUUGGUUUCAAUGUCAAGUGCUAGUAUAAACAGGACAAACUCUCCACAGUAAUCUUCAUACAAUUUUUUUUGACUGUUUCAAUACAAUUCCGUUCAUGGGGAGCUUGCUGAGAAAAAGGCUUUCAGUAAUAGCAAAUACCUUAAUGCAGGCAGGGGCAUACCUCCACAGUCCUUAGCUUACUGAGACAGCCUAGAGCAAAAAGCCAAGUGCCUCUGCUGUCUGGGUGUUCAGUCAGACAGCACUGCUGUGGUUUUUCUUUUGGGAACAGAGUAAUAUAUACAUACAUCAUCAGCUUUGUCUUGGCUAUAUUAAAAAGAGCCUGUUUUGAAGAAAGUGCAAUAAGUUGCCCUCCAGUAACAAAGAGCCUAAUCCAUAGGCAGACUUAAUUAUUCUAAUUGUCUUGGUGCCUGCCACUUUAAGAGCUAGGCCAGGGAGAAGGCAGGUGUCUGAUGAGGGUGGCCAUUUAAUGCCCAGCUCUCUGAGUUGAAGGGGAGCAAUUUGUGGCCAGCAGGGAAGAAACAUCUCCCUGCUGAGUUCUGCUGCUCCAGAAAGACCUAGAAGCCGCAGAGAUAUAUCAAGAGAAAGUGCAGGAGUUUGCAGCAAUUUCAGGAAUUCUUCAUUUGGGUCUAAGGAAAUACAGCAAAGACUUGCAGAAUUUGAAGAACUGCAAAUUCUUGGAAGUGACUGACUGCACAGAUUUUGUGUAAACUUCUCCAUUUUUUCAUCAGAGCUAGUCAAAAGAUCACCCUUUGCGAUCAGAAUGUUAAAAUAUAGUCUUCCAUAUUUCUAAAAAUGUUUGCCACUGCUUGAUUAGGAGCAACAUGACAAAUUCCAGGCUUGUUUAAAUCAUCUAUUGUCAUACUGGACUUGACCACACUUUUCACCCUAUUCUAGUCAUUGAAACAUUUGUUAGUGUGACUUCCACAUUAGAAAUCUGCAUGUGGCUAACCUGAAGUAAAAGCCCUGGUUAUAAAAUAAAUAAAUAAAUAAAGGUGCAUUCCUACAAGGACAUUUGAACUGAGUCAAAUCUGUAAACUUCAGGGAAUGACUGCUUGGCAGAUCUGUUGCUGUUGCCACUGCUGUUUCUGUGUCUUGUUGUGUUUUUUGUUUUGUUUUUUUUUGUUUGAGAAAUACACAAUUUAUGAUGUAUGUGCUAGCAUAUCAUUGCCUGCUCCUUAAUUGGCUCAAUGUAAGAAAUGUUCAAGUAUGUGAUUUUUAUGGCUGAAAACAAAUAAUGGAGGAAAUUUUUCUUGCAAAAAUUAAUUUUUGUUCAGCUUUGGUAACUGUUACCACCUAAUAGCUGCUAAUCUGUGGAGGGUAUAAAUGUUCUUGCAGUCUGUUUUAAAAGUUUCAUGCAUGUGUUUUUUGGUUUUUUUUCAGUUGAUAGGCAUGGAAGACUGUAUUGGUACCCCUGAGUCUUAUCAGGACCCCUGACUUCAGAGAACAGGGUCAUUUUCUCUCUUCCUUGCUCUCUUGCUGUUUUGUCUAUUUUAAAACUAGCUGAGAAUACUUAAACGAAGUUCUGGUGACAUUGGAGUGAUAUAGCUGUGAUGGUCUAGGAAAAAUGCAAGUAGCAAGUUGGUCCAAUAUAGAGUAUUGCCCACAAAUACCCUUAUUCUAAAUGGAGUUCUGUUUCUUGUGACUGUUAUAUACCUUGCUGCAGAGGUCAAUGCAACUUAUUCAGGAUUAUCUAUAACAAGAUACCAAAGAGCCAAGACUGAAGGGGAACAGUGGUCAAGAUGCCAGAGACCUCCAACUCUGGGGUUCCUCUGACAGUAGUUAUAUCUGAACAAAAAUAAAAAAUUAGAUUAAUCCCUUCAGACUGUCAGAGUAGCGAGCUUUCACUGUCAGGCCUGGGGCGUCUUUGAAGAAUUAACAUUUUGUAAUAGGUUUGGCAGUGAGAUAGCAGUUUAACAUUAUGCUAAUCCAGUGUGGGCUUGUCCCACUUCAAUGGUUGGACACUAAAGAGGUUUGAGAUCGCUGUAGACUCCACGGCAGCAGAACUGGGAUUUUAGCUGAAGGUAUAGAGGCUCACGCGUUCAGAUACACUUUGUUAUUGAUUCAUCCGUAAUGAUGGAACUGAAACCCUGAUAGGAAAGUCCUGGAGGAUCUAGGAUUUUUAUUUUUUGAAUACUUUAUAACUGUUACAAAGGACUCUUCUGGGGAGGUCACUAAAUGGGAUAAUGCUUCAAGAAAAUAAAUGGGAAACCUGAGCCUGCCUGGCCUGCAUUUGGAAAUGCACGUUUAAGCCUGAAAACCUGUGCUGUGUUCCUAACUGUCCCCAAGAGCAGAGAGCUGAUUACUGAAUUGAGGGUAAAGGCUACACACCAAAUAGUAGCUUAGGUGCCUCCUACCACUCUAGGUAUUUGAAGGAUGAAAAUUGGAUUAUGGAUGUUGCCAAGAGGAAGGACAUCUGUUUUCCAGGGCAAGAAGAUUCUCACUGGCUCUGACUUGCACAUGCAUUGAGUUUGAAGUUUUUUUUUUUUCUGAAAAGACAAUUGCAGCAUUGCCACCUUCAAACAUUCAGAACUCAUGAGUCGGGGAAUAGGAACAUCUUGAGACUGGAUUAAAAAAAAAAAGGGUUUUAGAAAAUCACCUUGACAUCUUUCACAUGCUUUGCAUAUGUUUAAACCUGAGGAUCACACUUUUUUGAUCUUUAUUCCUCCACAGGUGAAAGGACUAAACCAUCCCCGGGGCAUAGUGUGGCAUGCAGGCCUCGGGGCAGAUUGGUGGGGGGGAAGAGGGAGGGGCUGAGGCUGCACUGCCACAACAAGGAUUGACCCCCUCACUGAAACGCCAGCAUCUUACCAGUCGAUGUGCUCUGCCCAAAAAUGUUGCCAACCUCUAGACUGGACAUUCUUUUAAAAAAUAAAAUUGAAAUUCUGCAGUUUAAAUAUGAUAUUAUAAACACAUUUUUAAAAA